This 503-nucleotide ribosomal RNA is filed under the name uncultured bacterium. RNAcentral describes it as "partial 16S ribosomal RNA". It matches the Rfam family "Bacterial small subunit ribosomal RNA", at positions 30 to 523 of the family's 1533-position model. The record is from RNAcentral.
AUUGAACGCUGGCGGCAGGCUUAACACAUGCAAGUCGAGCGGAGUGAUGGUGCUUGCACUAUCACUUAGCGGCGGACGGGUGAGUAAUGCUUAGGAAUCUGCCUAUUAGUGGGGGACAACAUCUCGAAAGGGAUGCUAAUACCGCAUACGUCCUACGGGAGAAAGCAGGGGAUCACUUGUGACCUUGCGCUAAUAGAUGAGCCUAAGUCGGAUUAGCUAGUUGGUGGGGUAAAGGCCUACCAAGGCGAUGAUCUGUAGCGGGUCUGAGAGGAUGUUCCGCCUAACUGGGACUGAGACACGGCCCAGACUCCUGCGGGAGGCAGCAGUGGGGAAUAUUGGACAAUGGGGGGAACCCUGAUCCAGCCAUGCCGCGUGUGUGAAGAAGGCCUUAUGGUUGUAAAGCACUUUAAGCGAGGAGGAGGCUCUUUUGGUUAAUACCCAAGAUGAGUGGACGUUACUCGCAGAAUAAGCACCGGCUAACUCUGUGCCAGCCGCCGCAGUAA